ACGGGUGAGUAAUAUGUAGGAAAUCUGCCUUAGAGAGGGGGACAACAGAGGGAAACUUCUGCUAAUACCCCAUAUGAGCUACCUUGAAAUAGGUAUCUUGAAAACUCCGGUGCUCUAAGAUGAGCCUGCAUCUGAUUAGCUUGUUGGUGGUGUAAUGGACUACCAAGGCGACGAUCAGUAGCUGGUUUGAGAGGAUGAUCAGCCACAAUGGGACUGAGACACGGCCCAUACUCCUACGGGAGGCAGCAGUAGGGGAUUUUGCGCAAUGGGCGAAAGCCUGACGCAGCAACGCCGCGUGAAUGUUAAGCCCUUCGGGGUGUAAAGUUCUGUCAGUGGGGACGAAACUUGACGGUACCCACAGAGGAAGCACCGGCUAACUCCGUGCCAGCAACCGCGGUAAUACGGAGGGUGCAAGCGUUGUCCGGAAUCAUUGGGCGUAAAGAGUUCGUAGGUGGUAUGUUAAGUCUGGUGUUAAAGCCCGAAGCUCAACUUCGGUUCGGCACUGGAUACUGGCAAACUUGAAUGUGGUAGAGGUAAAGGGAAUUCCUGGU
RNAcentral lists this ribosomal RNA (551 nucleotides) under uncultured bacterium. Its description in RNAcentral is "bacterial SSU rRNA". It matches the Rfam family "Bacterial small subunit ribosomal RNA", at positions 102 to 674 of the family's 1533-position model. The record is from RNAcentral.